UUAAUCUAUUAUAUAAAAUGAAGCAUUUAAUUAUAGUAAUAAUUUGAAGUAGUUUGAAGUACCACACUGAGGUGAGGACUUAAAAAUGAUAAGACGAGUUCCCUAUUUUAUAAGAAAAAUAAGCCAAAAUUAAAUAUUCUUUUGGAUAUAAAUUUCAACAGUGAGAUAGCUGCCUAGUGGAAAUGAAUAAUAUCCCAGCCACUAGUGUACAGGGUGUUUUGUGGCACAGGAUUAUGUAAUAUGGAACUGCUCAAGCAAAUAACUAGUCAUCACAACAGCAGUUCUUUGUAAUAACUGAAAAAGAAUAUUGUUUCUCGGAGAAGGAUGUCAAAAGAUCGGCCCAGCUCAGGGAGCAGUUUGCCCUACUAGCUCCUCGGACAGCUGUAAGAAGAGUCUCUGGCUCUUUAGAAUACUGAUCCCAUUGAAGAUACCACGCUGCAUGUGUCCUUAGUAGUCAUGUCUCCUUAGGCUCCUCUUGGACAUUCUGAGCAUGUGAGACCUGAGGACUGCAAACAGCUAUAAGAGGCUCCAAAUUCAUCAUAUCUUUCCCUUUGAGAAUCUGGCCAAGCUCCAGCUAAUCUACUUGGAUGGGUUGCCAGCUAUCUGGAGAAAAAGGUUGGUAGCCAGAAUAUAACAGCUCCGCACAACUGUAAAUGUCCACUCUUCAAUCCACAUGAAGAAAAGGAUCUUCCUCAGAAGAAUAGGCUUGUUGCUUUACAGUGUUAGUGAUCCAUUCCCUUUGACGAUCCCUAGGUGGAGAUGGGGCAUGAGGAUCCUCCAGGGGAAAAGCUCACUACCACUGGGCAACAACCCUAGGUCAGGAGGUUCUGUCAAGAUACUUUCCUGGUCCCAGAUAGGAAGAUAAAGUCUCAAAAACAACCACCACACGUCAAGCUCUUCAUUGUUCCUACCUGCCAAAUCAUUAUACUUCCUACAAGCAGUGCAGAGAGCUGAGUCUUCAGCAGGUCCAAGAAAUUUGAACACACUGAAGGAAGUCAGCCUUCCCACCUGAAGAUCAACAUGCCUGGCACUCUAGCACUUGAGGAUAGCUGAAUGAAUGUGUAUUUCUUUGUCUCUUUCUUUCUUGUCUUUGCUCUUUGUUCUCUAUCUAAAGUGUGUCUUACCCAUUUCCAUGUUUCUCUUGCUAAUUUCUUUCGUGUGUGCCUUUGCCUCAUUUUCUCUUUUUGUUCACAAGAGUGGUCUGUGUCUUGUCUUAGACAUAUCUCUCAUUUUUCAUUUUGUUGCUAUUUCUCUUUGCUCUCCUAGAUGUGGCUCUUCUUUCACGCUUUAUUUCAUGUCUCCUUUUUGGGUCACAUGCUGUGUGCUUUUUGUCCUUUUCUUGUUCUGUCUACCUCUCCUUUCUCUGCCUACCUCUCUUUUCUCUUUGUGAACUGUGAUUAUUUGUUACCCCUUCCCCUUCUCGUUCGUUUUAAAUUUCACCUUUUUUCUGAGUCUGGCCUCCUUUCUGCUGUUUCUACUUUUUAUCUCACAUUUCUCAUUUCUGCAUUUCCUUUCUGCCUCUCUUGGGCUAUUCUCUCUCUCCUCCCCUGCGUGCCUCAGCAUCUCUUGCUGUUUGUGAUUUUCUAUUUCAGUAUUAAUCUCUGUUGGCUUGUAUUUGUUCUCUGCUUCUUCCCUUUCUACUCACCUUUGAGUAUUUCAGCCUCUUCAUGAAUCUAUCUCCCUCUCUUUGAUUUCAUGUAAUCUCUCCUUAAAUAUUUCUUUGCAUAUGUGGGCAAGUGUACGUGUGUGUGUGUCAUGUGUGGCAGAGGGGCUUCCUAACCCCUGCCUGAUAGGUGCAGAACGUCGGCUAUCAGAGCAAGCAUUGUGGAGCGGUUCCUUAUGCCAGGCUGCCAUGUGAGAUGAUCCAAGACCAAAACAAGGCCCUAGGCUGCAGUAAAACCCAAAACUCAAGUAGGGCAGAAGGUGGAAGGCUCAUAUGGAUAGAAGGCCCAAAGUAUAAGACAGAUGGUUUGAGACUUGAGACCCGAGGACUAAGAUGGAAAGCCCAUGUUCCAAGAUAGAUAGAAGCCUCAGGCCUGAAACCAACAAAAGCCUCAAGAGCCAAGAAAACAGAGGGUGGCCUGAAUUGGACCGAAGGCCUGAGUUGGAUGGAAGUCUCAAGGCUUGAGUUAGAAGUCUUAAGACCUGGGACAGGACACAUGGAAGGCCUAAGAACUGAGACUUGUGACACAAGGCCAACGAUCUAAGAUUAGCCCAGGGUUGUAGCUGGAAGACCUACAACCCAAGGAUGGAAGGCCCCUGUCACAAAGCCUACCUAGAUGGAUAGAGGACCCAAGCGAAAAAGGUAUCUCAAGACUAAAGGCUGGAAUCUGGAGGCCCAUGACCCAGAACCCAGGAAGGAUAGAAGCUUGAAGACCUGGGGAAAUCCCAAGAUGAGAACCCUAAACCCUACCUCUUUUCUAUUGUUUACACUUCUUACUCUUAGAUAUUUCCAGUUCUCCUGUUUAUCUUUAAGCCUGAUUCUUUUGAGAUGUACUUUUUGAUGUUGCCGGUUACCUUUAGAUUGACAGUAUUAUGCCUGGGCCAGUCUUGAGCCAGCUUUAAAUCACAGCUUUUACCUAUUUGUUAGGCUAUAGUGUUUUGUAAACUUCUGUUUCUAUUCACAUCUUCUCCACUUGAGAGAGACACCAAAAUCCAGUCAGUAUCUAAUCUGGCUUUUGUUAACUUCCCUCAGGAGCAGGCAUUCAUAUAGGUGAUACUGUAUUUCAGUCCUUUCUUUUGACCCCAGAAGCCCUAGACUGAGAAGAUAAAAUGGUCAGGUUGUUGGGGGAAAAAAAGUGCCAGGCUCUCUAGAGAAAAAUGUGAAGAGAUGCUCCAGGCCAAUGAGAAGAAUUAGACAAGAAAUACACAGAUGUGCCAGACUUCUGAGAAGCACCUGCCAGCAACAGCUUCCUUCUUUGAGCUUAGUCCAUCCCUCAUGAAAAAUGACUGACCACUGCUGGGCAGCAGGAGGGAUGAUGACCAACUAAUUCCCAAACCCCAGUCUCAUUGGUACCAGCCUUGGGAAACCACCCACACUUGAGCCACAAUUGGUUUUGAAGUGCAUUUACAAGUUUCUGGCAUCACUACCACUACUGAUUAAACAAGAAUAAGAGAACAUUUUAUCAUCAUCUGCUUUAUUCACAUAAAUGAAGUUGUGAUGAAUAAAUCUGCUUUUAUGCAGACACAAGGAAUUAAGUGGCUUCGUCAUUGUCCUUCUACAUCAAAGAUAAUUUAUUCCAAAAGCUAAGAUAAAUGGAAGACUCUUGAACUUGUGAACUGAUGUGAAAUGCAGAAUCUCUUUUGAGUCUUUGCUGUUUGGAAGAUUGAAAAAUAUUGUUCGGCAUGGGUGACCACCAGAAAGUAAUCUUAAGCCAUCUAGAUGUCACAAUUGAAACAAACUGGGGAGUUGGUUG
Molecule: long non-coding RNA, 3416 nt
Filed under: Pan troglodytes (chimpanzee)
Lineage: Eukaryota; Metazoa; Chordata; Mammalia; Primates; Hominidae
Description: long non-coding RNA NONPTRT018486
Rfam family: X-chromosome inactivation gene exon 4 (bases 690-815)
Source: RNAcentral